GUCAAGGAUUUGUCCAUCUUGAUGGGUUUUGCUGAAAUGGGUGUUCUUUAUAGUUCCAGUCACAGCCCAUGCUCCUUCUGUUUGCUGAAGCGAAAUUUCCUUUGUGCCGAAGUGAUUCUGGAAUAAUGUUUUCAUGGAGAAAAACCAAGUGAGAGAUAAACACAGCUGUCUUCCCCUGAAAAGGUUAUGCACAAUUAUUCCCAAGGACUCUGGGAAGAUUUCUCAUUUCCACGUUUCCUACUUUGAGAUGGGUGAGGAAACCAGACAGAAGCCAUGCAGCACUGGUGUUUGCCAGACAGCUCUCUUCUGUCCCUCUCCUGGCUGCAACUGCACCCCAAGGACGCUGUCUGUGACCUACGACCCUGGAGAGAGUCAUCUGUUCUCUCUCCCUUGGAGAACAAGUCAAAGUUCAGGAAGGAAAAGAGCCAAAACUCCAGAGGUUUAAAGAGCAGUUCUUCCAAACUUAGGAUUCUGGAGGUAAAUGGAUGAGGGACAAGAACGAACUGAAGAGAACUCAUACUGAAAUUCGUUAUGCUCUUGAGAAAUUCUGUUCCCUCUGAAGUCCUUCCUCUUACUCACUGGCUGAUUAACAGAUCGGAAGUUUUGUUUGCACUGCACUUUGAUAAAAACUCUGCUAUGACACAUAUUUUAGAUAAAUUUCACAUGUUUAGAUUUGACUUUUGUAACUGACCUGCUACAAGGGAAGAAUCUGUUUUAUUUAUGUCUAUCACUUCAGCACCCUACUCAGUGUUAUAUAACAAGCCCCGAGCACUUUUUGGGGUGGGGACAAGAUGAAAGGGCGUGAUGAAGAGAGGAG
Molecule: long non-coding RNA, 817 nt
Filed under: Fukomys damarensis (Damara mole-rat)
Lineage: Eukaryota; Metazoa; Chordata; Mammalia; Rodentia; Bathyergidae
Description: lncRNA (ENSFDAG00000032855.1)
Source: RNAcentral